Regulatory RNA element from Granulicatella elegans ATCC 700633, 90 nucleotides. It matches the Rfam family "TPP riboswitch aptamer (THI element)". From Rfam's summary of the family: Vitamin B(1) in its active form thiamin pyrophosphate (TPP) is an essential coenzyme that is synthesised by coupling of pyrimidine and thiazole moieties in bacteria. Lineage: Bacteria; Bacillati; Bacillota; Bacilli; Lactobacillales; Carnobacteriaceae. The record is from Rfam.
GAGAAGCAUUUGGGGUGCCGAAAGGCUGAGAUCAUACCCAUUGAACCUGUUCUGGAUAAUGCCAGCGAAGGAAAAUGACGAUCAAGUAUA